This 30-nucleotide non-coding RNA is filed under the name Mus musculus (house mouse). The record is from RNAcentral. Lineage: Eukaryota; Metazoa; Chordata; Mammalia; Rodentia; Muridae.
UNGCAGGAUGCUCAACUGGUAACCCUCGCU